This is a long non-coding RNA of Prosopis cineraria, 1215 nucleotides long. RefSeq lists it as uncharacterized. NCBI's taxonomy places the organism in Eukaryota, Viridiplantae, Streptophyta, Magnoliopsida, Fabales, Fabaceae. The transcript has 2 exons. The record is from RefSeq and is a predicted model, not a curated record.
AUGCGUUUCCUCCUCCCUUGGCAGUGGUAAGAGAGAAGGCCCCAUCCACAUUCACAAGAAUCCAAUUAUGAGGAGGAACCUGCCAAUGCACUCUAGACGCGUUCAUGUUUUUCCCUAAGAGAUUUUGUCUUUGCCAUAUUUGCCUGCAACUUAAAGCAAAGCUGCAAGUCCAUUCCUUGUUCAUAUGGCUUCCAGGACCUAUCAAAUUUUGCCGUAGCCACUGUGCAAGAUUAGAGCCGAAAAAGACUCCUUUAUGAAAAGGAUUGACGAUCUUGCUCUAUUAUUGGUAAGUCCGAGGACAAUCUCGUAAACAUGUGGAGUACAUCUUCAUUAAUAUCUGGACACCAUUGGCAGCCUGCAUCCAUGCUUAAUCUCCCGUGGACUCAAGCUUCAUUAGUGAGGAUCCUAUUAUGCAGCACAAGCCACAUGAAAGACUUACACCUGUGUGGGACAUUCAUUUUCUAGAGGUUAACCCAUAUGGUAUCUCUGAUGCUAUCCUCUUUUCUAAGGUAUUGGUAAGCUGAUUUGAUUGAGAAAUCUCCAAGUUUCUCUAGCUUCCAUCGAACCUCUCGACCUUCCUGUACAACCUCUGAUGCCUCAAGAACUUUAUCCCACGUUGCCUUAAUGCCCAACCAGAUGUUGGAUCCUGAUCUAGACUUCUUAAUAACGGGCACUAAGUCAUUCCCGCACUUAUAUUUACCCAAAUAACUUUAGCCCAGAGAUCAUCUUUCUGCUUCAUGAGCUUCCAGCCAAGCUUUAUUAAGAAUGCUUGAUUCUGUGACCGAGCAUGCUUAAUCCCUAACCCUCCAUUUUUCUUGCUCUUCCCCACUUCAUUCCACAAAAUUAAGUGGAUUUUCUUUUUUUCCAUGAUAGUCCCCCAUAUGAAAAUUUUAUUCAGAUGAUCAAGAGUUUCACAGGUUUGCACAGGUAACAAAGCAGUUUACAUGGUAUAUCUAGGGAUGGCUGAGGUCAUGGCAAAGACGAGAGUUGUACAUCUAGCUAAAGACAAAGCCGUGGCCUUCCAGGAAGACAAGCGCUUCUUCACUUUAUCAAUAAUAUCCCUAAAUGUAUUUUUAUCUACUGCUUUUGAAUGCAAUCGAGAACUCCUAUAUAGCGUCCAAGAUCAGUUGUUCUGGAGAAGCCCAAUAUCGAACUCAGUUCUUUCCUUCGAAUGUUAUGAACAUUCUUAUAAAAGAAACUCGUGUCUUAGUUGCA